This 442-nucleotide ribosomal RNA is filed under the name uncultured bacterium. RNAcentral describes it as "partial 16S ribosomal RNA". It matches the Rfam family "Bacterial small subunit ribosomal RNA", at positions 338 to 795 of the family's 1533-position model. The record is from RNAcentral.
CCUACGGGAGGCUGCAGUGGGGAAUAUUGGGCAAUGGGCGCAAGCCUGACCCAGCAACGCCGCGUGAAGGAAGAAGGCUCUCGGGUUGGAAACUUCUUUUGGCAGGGAAGAGUAGAAGACGGUACCUGACGAAUAAGCCACUGCUAACUACGUGCCAGCGGCCGCGGUAAUACGUAGGUGGGAAGCGUUGUCCGGAUUUACUGGGUGUAAAGGGCGUGUAGCCGGGUUGACAAGUCAGAUGUGAAAUCCUGCGGCUUAACCGCAGAACAGCAUUUGAAACUGUUGAUCUUGAGUACUGGAGAGGCAGACGGAAUUCCUAGGGUAGCGGUGAAAUGCGUAGAUAUUAGGAGGAACACCAGUGGCGAAGGCGGUAUGCUGGACAGCAACUGACGGUGAGGCGCGAAAGUGUGGGGAGCAAACAGGAUUAGAUACCCUAGUAGUC